RNAcentral lists this ribosomal RNA (585 nucleotides) under Belvosia sp. Woodley04A/Woodley04B. RNAcentral's name for it is "partial ribosomal RNA". Lineage: Eukaryota; Metazoa; Arthropoda; Insecta; Diptera; Tachinidae. The record is from RNAcentral.
UCACUGUNACGNCCUGAGUGUUGCGGAUGUUUCGCAGAAGUUGACCGAACUUGAUUAUUUAGAGGAAGUAAAAGUCGUAACAAGGUUUCCGUAGGUGAACAUCNACAUUNCGAACGCACNNACUCCUUUCAAGUUAUAAACAAAAACACAAUAUAUAAAAUACUUAUAUUGUAAAAUUAUGGCAAAUGCCAAAAAGAAACAAAAUAACAAUAAUAAAAAUGUUUAUUAUUGUAUCGCCUCCUAGGCAAAAAAGUAUAGUAUAAAGUGUUUGUGUGUGUUACACAUUACACAAAAAUUGACUUAUUUAUAUAAAAUUUGUAAAAACUGAAAUUGUGUGGACGUUAUACAAAAUUAAUUUGUAUAGAAAAUGUCUAAAAAUUUGAAAUACAUAAAAUUAUNGUUGUACUUGUAUAAAAUUGAAAAGUAAUUUUUUAUNUNAGUCAAUCAUUGUUCGUUUUUUAAAAACUUGAGACAUUCGCAACAAAAAUUUUAUGUUUUAGUUAUNAAAGAGAANAAUAAUAAGCAAAAAUUAUUGAAGGNNUUGAUNUAUGCCAAUUUGAANCNUUUUGGUGUAUUUUUGAUUUC